Molecule: long non-coding RNA, 1528 nt
Organism: Cornus florida
Lineage: Eukaryota; Viridiplantae; Streptophyta; Magnoliopsida; Cornales; Cornaceae
Exons: 4
Source: RefSeq, a predicted model, not a curated record
UAAAAUUGUUUAUGAACUGCCCUGCAUAGAGUGGAAUGCUUUCUUUAGAAUGUAAAUUUAACCUCCUUAAUAUGUAUACAUAUAAAUUUAAUCUAAUCUUUGUACACCUCGCUAAAUGAUAGUAGAAAACUGGAAGUAAAAGUAUUGUAAGUGAACAAACCAAGCCCUUGGAGUAACCAAACAUGGUUUUAAUGUUUUGUUUUUAAAUUUCUUACAAUGCAUUGACGUUACCAAACAUGUUUUUAUGUUAUUGCUUUUCUAAUUCAUCAAAAAAUUUAUAUUAUUAAGUAUGCUUCCGAUUCAUAUUCAAAACACACUACAGCAAAAAUGACACUUCUAUUUUUGGUCAAAAUAAAAGUACGAAACAAAAUUGGUUGCCAAAUAGAUCCUAAGUUUUCCUGUUCAAAAUUGUUUUAAAAAACACUUUAUGCAUCUUGUCUCCAUUCCGUUUAAGUUCUCUUGCACCCACCCGCCCCACCUUGCCCGGUUUAAAUUAGCACUCAAAAUUUUUUUUCCCUAAUUUUUCAAUCAAAUUUUAAAAUAGUAUGGUCUAAAUAAAGAUUAUUUUAAAAGUUAAAAUAGUUAUACAUUUGCACUGUGGGGCCGGGUGGGUUGCGGGGAGUUUAUUUGGGAGCUACUAGUCCAAAAGGCAUAUAGUUGCUAGAGUUCCUGCAUCAUAAAAACAAUAAUAAUAAUAAUAAUAAUAAAAAUAAUAAAAAUAAAAAAGAAGAAGAAGGACAAUUUUGUCUAUAACAUAAGGGAUAGGGGUCAAAUAGUAUUUUUGGUAUUUUGAUUCAGCAGGGCAUGUGAGUUUCACAAGUUAGUGAAUGGGAUCUGGUGCAGAGGAUCGAGCUCUACUCUUAUAAAAGAGGGUCGAAAUUGAAAGCUGGCUUUGGAGUUGCUCGGAGGUGAGAAUUCUCGCGGAGAAGGGUUUCACAUUUCUAGGUGGAAUCAACAAGCAAAGCUUCGCCGGAUCUAGGUGGAAUUUACUUCACAAGCAGCAAAACAUCGCAUUAAUCAAGAGACUACACUUGUGACGCUCGAACAAGGUUCGCAGCCCUUUCCAAGAAAUCGAUGAAUGCAGAUAUAAGCUGUACUUCUGCAAGCAUUCCCCCUACGAGGAAGCACUGACUACAGACUCUUGAUUGUUCUUCCACUAGCAUUUCACGGAGUGAUAUUGAUAGCCAGUCUAUUAGCACCUUGAAAGAGACUCAAAAGAGGAAUGUGUCCAUUCUUUACUUGUUUUCCAGAUAUAAGAGUUCUCGAAAAGCUCAAGAUCACCCAAUGAGGCAAUGGCGAUAGACUAAGCAACGGAAGGAAUGUGUCACUACUAAUGAGAUUGUGAAUUUUUUCGUAGAAUUUGAAUGUAUAACUAUUGAGAUUGUGAAUUUAUUUGGCAGUUCGGUUUCAUAGACAAAACCGAUUCUUAGUUCUCUUUUCAAAAUCCCACCGUGAUGAGUGGGUUCAAACAUGUAAACCAAUUUAUGGCUCUUAAAUAUUGUUUCUUGUUGCAAAUAAAUUCUUUGCU